CAUUGUGUAACAACCCGCCCCGUGGGAACUAACCGCCCCAUGGACUCCAGGCUGGCCCUGCAGGGUUGUGAGCCUGGGUCUGCGGGACAUGGCAUUUUAUAAUUGAGGAGUUCCAAAAGUGUCAUUUAGAGCAUCCCAUUGGUAAAUUCUUUGGGGAGUGUACAGAGCUGAAAGUAAAGAAAGCUGUGAAGCGGAAGGUAAAUUUCGAACGAAGCAAGAAGCUUCAAGAAAGGCUCAAAACUAUAAGGAAAGAAGAAACUGCGGAGACUUGAGUUUUGUUGGAUACUGAUCUCGAUGAAGAACAUAUGUUUAUUUUGAAAAGAACACGUUUAUCAUAGAUCCAGGAGGAAGAGUUUGAAUACACUUUUCGUCUCGUAAAUGAGCGAAAAACACGGGUUUAUACAUCUAUUGAUUAGGGUUUAAAAUGAGUUGGUUAUUGGAGUGUAUAAAGCUAAUUAGCUUGGAGUGUAAGGCUACUAUACUCUAUAAAAUGCAGUAAAUAAGAUAUCUUGGUCUACAAGAA
Brassica napus (rape) is the source of this 523-nucleotide RNA transcript. RefSeq lists it as uncharacterized. The record is from RefSeq and is a predicted model, not a curated record. The transcript is spliced from 3 exons. NCBI's taxonomy places the organism in Eukaryota, Viridiplantae, Streptophyta, Magnoliopsida, Brassicales, Brassicaceae.